AAUAGAUACCCUGGUAGUCCACGCCGUAAACGAUGAGUGCUAAGUGUUAGAGGGUUUCCGCCCUUUAGUGCUGCAGCUAACGCAUUAAGCACUCCGCCUGGGGAGUACGGUCGCAAGACUGAAACUCAAAGGAAUUGACGGAGGCCCGCACAAGCGGUGGAGCAUGUGGUUUAAUUUGAAGCAACGCGAAGAACCUUACCAGGUCUUGACAUCCUCUGACAACUCUAGAGAUAGAGCGUUCCCCUUCGGGGGACAGAGUGACAGGUGGUGCAUGGUUGUCGUCAGCUCGUGUCGUGAGAUGUUGGGUUAAGUCCCGCAACGAGCGCAACCCUUGAUCUUAGUUGCCAGCAUUUAGUUGGGCACUCUAAGGUGACUGCCGGUGACAAACCGGAGGAAGGUGGGGAUGAUGUCAAAUCAUCAUGCCCCUUAUGACCUGGGCUACACACGUGCUACAAUGGAUGGUACAAAGGGCUGCAAGACCGCGAGGUCAAGCCAAUCCCAUAAAACCAUUCUCAGUUCGGAUUG
This 525-nucleotide ribosomal RNA is filed under the name uncultured bacterium. Its description in RNAcentral is "bacterial SSU rRNA". It matches the Rfam family "Bacterial small subunit ribosomal RNA", at positions 777 to 1300 of the family's 1533-position model. The record is from RNAcentral.